Molecule: ribosomal RNA, 273 nt
Filed under: Triticum aestivum (bread wheat)
Lineage: Eukaryota; Viridiplantae; Streptophyta; Magnoliopsida; Poales; Poaceae
Description: partial small subunit ribosomal RNA
Source: RNAcentral
AUGCGUCCGCCUGUCCUCUUGUCUCUUGUUCUCCUUCUUGUCGUAUGCCUUGCCUGGGCUACUACCACACACUGUGAAGGAAUGAUGAUGAACGUGGAUAAUGGUGGUGGUAAGGAGAAGGAGAAGGAGAAGAUCAGCUUACCAUACGGGUUGUGCGUCCACAAAAAAACGGUUGACCCCUGCUAUUAUCACAAGUUGUGCUACUGCUGCGAUCUCACCAAGUCUGUCAUGCUACACUCGAUGAAUGCAAGCAAGAUUGCAAAUAAUAUAUAG